AGCUUUGUGUAGUGGCAGUAUCGUAGCUAAUGAGGUUAAUCCGGGGUGUGAUUAUUGCUAGUUGAAAACUUUUCCCAAUACCCUGCCAUGAUGACUUGAAAUAUAGUUGGCAUUGGCAAUUUUUGAAAGUCUUCUGGGAGA
Molecule: small nuclear RNA, 141 nt
Filed under: Chelonoidis abingdonii (Abingdon island giant tortoise)
Lineage: Eukaryota; Metazoa; Chordata; Testudines; Testudinidae
Description: U4 spliceosomal RNA (ENSCABG00000015032.1)
Rfam family: U4 spliceosomal RNA
About the family: U4 small nuclear RNA (U4 snRNA) is a component of the major U2-dependent spliceosome. The structure of U4 snRNA from yeast and human has been reported.
Source: Rfam by way of RNAcentral